UACGGGGGGAGCAAGCGUUGUUCGGAUUUACUGGGCGUAAAGGGCGCGUAGGCGGCCACCGCAAGUCAAUUGUGAAAUCUCCGGGCUCAACCCGGAACGGUCAACUGAUACUGCGGGGCUAGAGUGCAGAAGGGGCAACUGGAAUUCUUGGUGUAGCGGUGAAAUGCGUAGAUAUCAAGAGGAACACCUGCGGCGAAGGCGGGUUGCUGGGCUGACACUGACGCUGAGGCGCGAAAGCUAGGGGAGCGAACGGG
RNAcentral lists this ribosomal RNA (254 nucleotides) under uncultured bacterium. RNAcentral's name for it is "partial 16S ribosomal RNA". It matches the Rfam family "Bacterial small subunit ribosomal RNA", at positions 524 to 776 of the family's 1533-position model. The record is from RNAcentral.